UACGUAGGGUGCAAGCGUUGUCCGGAAUUAUUGGGCGUAAAGAGCGUGUAGGCGGCCCGAUUAGUCCGCUGUGAAAGUCCAGGGCUCAACCCUGGAAUGCCGGUGGAUACUGUCGGGCUAGAGUCCGGAAGAGGAGAGUGGAAUUCCCGGUGUAGCGGUGAAAUGCGCAGAUAUCGGGAAGAACACCAGUGGCGAAGGCGGCUCUCUGGGACGGUACUGACGCUGAGACGCGAAAGCGUGGGGAGCAAACAGG
Molecule: ribosomal RNA, 253 nt
Filed under: uncultured bacterium
Lineage: Bacteria
Description: partial 16S ribosomal RNA
Rfam family: Bacterial small subunit ribosomal RNA
Source: RNAcentral